GGCUAAUUAGGCUUAAAAGAUUUGUCUCGCGAUUUACAACCAAACUGUGCAAUUAGUUUAUGUUUUCGUAUACAUUUAGUACUUCAUGCAUAUAUAUAUGUGUCCAAAGAUUCAAUAUGAUAGAUGAAAAGUUUUUGGGUGGAGAACUAAACAAGGCCGAGUAGUGAAUAGGAAUCCAAAUCCAAAAAAGAAACAAUAUCUCUAUUUCUCUUCUCUUCCAUCUUUAUUUUCUUUCCUGUUUCUUUCUAAAAAUCGUUCAGACUGUUUUAUUUAUUUUUUGCCUUACAGACUGUUCGUCACGAAUGAGGCUUUUCCUAUUACCAUAUAUUUUGUCGAUUUCUUUCUUUUAGUUCCAGAUAGAGUUUUUUUUUCCUGUUUUGAUGUAUUUUUAUAUUUCUGCUUUUUUCCAUGUUGCAUCUUUUUUCAGCCAAUUAGAGUUCUGGCGGUGUUUUGAAUCAGCACCAAUUACUAAAUUUGUGAUUGCACGUUAAGGCUUGGAUGGUUAUGCAAGGAUGGACAUAACGUUCCUACGUCCAGUCUCGAGCUCGUUGCUCGGUUUGCACUAGAAACUUGUAGUGGGGGUGUACAAGCGGUCGAGGGAGGGAAGGCUUCCCAAGUCACUGUUCGAGAACUGUGGUGGUUCGGGUGAUGUUCCGUGUCCUAGUGGCCUGCCCGACCUCCACUUUUAUGGAGGCGGGCUUCUUAAUUCAACCGCUUCCAUUAAUAUUGGCCAGCCCACUAGCGAUUGGUGAAGCCCAUAUUAGCCCAGUUUCUGACUAAGAGUAUAUAUACAAGCACAAACCCUAGCCCACUCCCAUCCCAUCCACUCUAAUGGGUGCGCUCUCUCCCUCUCUCGUUUUCUAACCCGACUUUGUCCUCCACCCUACAAACUCGGCGGUAUCACCACCCUCCCCUCCCCUCCCUGUGCCUCCCCUCCACUCCACUCCCUGUGGUGCUCCACACGACGACAACAAUCCCAGUGGUGUUGUACCUAGCGGUGCCCUUCUCCUAGCCUCUUCCCAUAGUGGCGUCCCUCCCCCACCUGGCAGUGCGCCACCAGUCGACGUCGGCAGCCCUACAACAGCUCGAUUGGGUGUCGGAUCUAGGCCGGCAGCGCGUCCCUGCGAUGGAUCUAGGUCGACAGCGCGCCCCGACGCAAAUCUAGGUCGGUCGCGCAAUUCAACGGCGGACCUAGGCUGGCCUCACGCCGCAGCGGUGGAUCCAGGCUGGCCUCGGACCCCAACCCGCGAAGGCAAUCCCCACACGUGGAGGCCAUGGCCUUCCGACGGCAGCGGCGUUUCAGCGGGCAUGCGUCAUACCCCACUCUCUCCCUCGACAUAGCAGUGUGGGCGAUGACAACUGUCUCGUGGACGGCGGUGGCACACGCCUCAAAUGGGCUCAACGGGCCUCAUCGAUGGGCUUGUUGAUUUUUUUAAAAAAAAUUAUUGAUUAUUGGAGGCGAGCAAACUCACCCGCCUCGGUGUUCAUAAUUAACCGAGGCCUAUGACUGG
RNAcentral lists this long non-coding RNA (1511 nucleotides) under Sorghum bicolor (sorghum). Its description in RNAcentral is "long non-coding RNA (SBIC_LNC009422)". The record is from RNAcentral. Lineage: Eukaryota; Viridiplantae; Streptophyta; Magnoliopsida; Poales; Poaceae.